CCAACGGUCCUUUUAAGGACCACAUUUAUUUUACUCAAAUCAAGC
Non-coding RNA from Trichinella sp. T6, 45 nucleotides. The record is from Rfam. NCBI's taxonomy places the organism in Eukaryota, Metazoa, Nematoda, Enoplea, Trichinellida, Trichinellidae.